UACGGUCAUGUUACGUUGAAACACCAGUUUUCGUACAAUCACCGAAGUUAAGCAACACGUGAGCCUAUCCAGUACAUGGAUGAGUGACCGCUUAGGAAUAUCAGUUGCUGUC
Non-coding RNA from Acanthosepion pharaonis, 112 nucleotides. Lineage: Eukaryota; Metazoa; Mollusca; Cephalopoda; Sepiida; Sepiidae. The record is from the annotation of a GenBank genome assembly.